AUUCAUACAGUACCGUCAGCCAACCACACGUGGUUGGGUUUCUUCCUAUAUAAAAGCAGUUUACAACCCAUAGGGCAGUCUUCCUGCACGCGGCAUGGCUGGGUCAGAGUUGCCUCCAUUGUCCAAUAUUCCU
RNAcentral lists this ribosomal RNA (133 nucleotides) under uncultured bacterium. RNAcentral describes it as "partial 16S ribosomal RNA". The record is from RNAcentral.